This 66-nucleotide transfer RNA is filed under the name Urocitellus parryii (Arctic ground squirrel). RNAcentral's name for it is "Spermophilus parryii (Arctic ground squirrel) tRNA". It matches the Rfam family "tRNA". Rfam says of the family: Transfer RNA (tRNA) molecules are approximately 80 nucleotides in length. The record is from Rfam by way of RNAcentral. Lineage: Eukaryota; Metazoa; Chordata; Mammalia; Rodentia; Sciuridae. RNAcentral also lists the same sequence under 1 other name.
GGUGUAGCUCAGUUGGUAGAGUGCUUGUUUUGAAAGCACAAGGCCCUGGGUUCAAUCCUCAGCACC